This is a long non-coding RNA of Talpa occidentalis (Iberian mole), 3420 nucleotides long. RefSeq lists it as uncharacterized. The record is from RefSeq and is a predicted model, not a curated record. The transcript is spliced from 7 exons. Lineage: Eukaryota; Metazoa; Chordata; Mammalia; Eulipotyphla; Talpidae.
UGGCUCCAUGCGCCUCUCCCAGGUCUCCUUCUGGCUCCAUCCAGCUUCCUUCCUUCCCAGUCUCCUCUGCAGCUGCUUUCUCUGCUCAGCUCCACCCUCCCUUGGGGGGGCAGGAAACCUGCAACCUCCCCCUUUCCUGGGGACCACCCAGUCCACAUAGACCCCCCCACCCCUUCAGCGCUGCUUUCCGGGGCCCUGGAGCUGACUCCGGCAUGUGCAGAUCCCCUGAAGAUCCACCCCCCCAUCGCUGUGCAUGCAGUCACCCUGAAGGGGGGCACCCUGGGCUUCCACCCUGAGAACAUCAUGACCAGGCAGCCUAAUGCCAACCUCAGAGAGGAAAUGUUUGGAGGCUUUGCAAGUAGCUGAGUCACUGAAACUGUUCCCGCUUUUGCUGCUGUCACAGCCUGGCAGAGAAGGCGAAGACCUGGACCCGGGCGCCUCUCUAAGCUUUGAGUGUGGCCAGUUGUCAGGUCUUUCGGCCGCUGCAGCAGCUGUUUUGCGUGUCACUUGUCUGGUGCUGUGCUGGGGCAUCUCGGCAGCUCCGUUGAGCAUCUCCUGUUGUGUCUUCUGCUGUCUUCGUGAGUUGGAUCCCGGCCUACGGUCUGGCAGCCACGUGCUCCAGGUCCCCAGUGGCAGGAAGACGCUACUUGGGAACAUUUGUGUUUAGGACUUUACAACACUGGACACUGCUUAAGGCUCUAACAGCAGCAAAGAUGGGAACAGGUGAAGAAGCUGUGAUUGCUUCUCAACCUUGGACUUGUGCCAGAGACUUGGGGGGACAUGGAAGGAGACACUGGAAACAGACAUGGGCAAUACCAUCUUCACAUGAAGGAAUGAAUGACAAAAUCUGUGGCUAUUUGAUUUGGUUAAUGAGCAGACAUUGUCCUGAAAAUGAGUGUGUGCUCCUUUAAGAAAAUCAACUGACAAUUGAUAACUGACAGUCACUUCGCCUUGACAAAAUAGCCGCCCUCUCUGCACCGUCUCUACUCAGCGGUGUCUGAGCAGCUCCAGGAGUCCCUGCACCACCUGCCUCUGCCCUUGUGGGAAACCAGCCCCUCAGCCUGCAUGACAGUGAGGAGGCGAAGGCAAAGUCCUGAGGUGCAAGACCAAUGUGCUAUCCACAGAAAAGAGAGGUUCUGCCAGGGACCAGCCUCCGGCAAAAUGUUGUGUCAGGGGUUCCUGAAAGGAUGAGACGGCCUAGGAGACACGUUAGGGGCUGAAGGGAAGGGGAUUGAGGAGACACUGAUACUGGAUGGGGUGCAGAUCUCUUCUGCCAAGAGACUCAGCAGGUCUUUAUUCAUUUUUAGUAAUCAGAAAAAUUACCUAAUCAUGUGCAAAGCAGAAACAAUUAGGGUAUUCUAUUCCCAUGGACUACAGGCUCCUAUGGGUCCCAGCUAGAUGGUAGCCUUCAAGGUUAAUAGAUAAAAAACUAAACCUUACACUAAAACUUAUUAUUUCAGCUAGACAAUUACCUAAGACAGUUGAUAGCCACCAGUACAUCCCUAUCAGCUAAAGCUUAAGCAUCCAAAGAUUCUUCUAUUCAUAUGGCCUUCAGCCAGAGACCAGCUGCUUCUCAGCUAUCAGAACUUUUUCUACCUAGAAACUUCUUCACACAGUUAACUUCAUUGAAAAACUUUCCUAAGAAACUUCUAAAAAAGCAAAAGGAGGACUUACUAUAAUAGUUGUGUUGGAUUGCUUGUCAGGAAUGUAAAUUGUCUCCCAUUGUCAAGUGGGCCAAAUUGUUUAAUAACUAAUUUCUAAACAGAUAAUUUUCCAUGCCAUUUAUUUGCAGUAUACUGAUGCAUAUAAUGUAGUGCCUAAUGAACUUUCUGAUAAUUUUUUCUCUUUUUAUGACCAAGAACAAAAAUAAAGGUAUAUUAGAUCUUCAGCCCCACGGUGUGAGGCACAAGGAUUCUUCGGCCCCACGGUGUGAGGCCCUUUCGCUUCUCUGCUUGCCAGUGUCUUAUCUGGUUGGGGCAACAAGGCUUCCUGCAGCAAGGUUCCAGGUUACCGCCUGGCCCAAGGAAAGGUGGGGCUGAGCAGGGAUGAGAAGCUAAGGAAGAGGAGGAAGAUGUGGAGUAAGAUGAGGAAAGAAGACUGGAGGAGGCACAUGGAGCAGAGAGACAUGUGAAGAAGAAACCACACUUGCUUCUCACUUGGACUUGUGCCAGGGAGUUGGGGCCAUGGAAAGAGACACAUGAAAGAGACAAAGACGUGGAUGAGGGACCCAUGGGGAGACUGACAAUGGCAGCUGUUAUCUUGAUGUGGAUUUUGAUUUUGCUCUUUUCCUUCCAGACUUGCCUGGCCCCUCCUGCCCCUGUCCCAUGGAUCUCUACCAGUAGGUGCCUUAGCUUUGUGGCAGGCCUUCAAGCCCCAGUGGGCCUGCUUUGGGCCAAGUUUGUUUGGCUGGGCCUUACCCAUGAGGGGACGGGUAACUUUGGGUGCUUCACUUGGGAACUAUUCUAAUUAUAUUCUUUCUCUUCUCUCUCUCUAUUGCACACUGAUUCUCUAUUUUAUACUAAUUGUAUUAGAGUUAUUUUCUAUUGAAGCUCUUACGCUUUAGAGUAUGUUUUGUCUUUAUGCAGCUGAUGGCAGAUAGUGUAUAGUUUUGAGGGCACAGGGAACCCCUCAUUCUGCCCACUAACAGGACCAGACACCAUUCCCACCCACCAUGUGCCAGAGUUCCUUUUCCUACACACCCUUCAAUGGGUCAUUCUCACAGUGUGAGGUGGGAACUCAUUAUGGUUUCAACUGGCAUUUUCCUGACAGCACAUGACAAACAUUUAUCCAUGUACCUACUGGCCACGUGUGUGUCUUCUUAGAAAAAGGACCUAUUUAGCUCCUCUGCCCCUGUUUUGAGUUGUUUCCUUGCUUUGGAGUUCUUUGUAGAUUUUGGAUAUUAACUCCUUGUUGGAUUGAUGAUGUGCAAAUAGUUUCUCCGAUUUGAUAUUGUCCUUUCAUUUUAACAAUAAUUUCCUUCACUAAUUAGAAGCUUUUUUAGUCUGAUGUGAUUCCAUUGGUUUCUUUUUGCUUUUGCUUCCUUGGAGCACAGACGACACUAUGGGCAGUGAAAAUACUCCGCAUGAUAUUCUCAUGGUGGACACGGGUCAUUUUCAUUGUACAUUUGUCCAACACCCCGAGAAUGGACACCACCAGAGUAACCCCAAAGGGAAAACAUGACUUUACAACUAUGACAUGUGAACCCAUCACUUGUAAUCAACGUGUCAGUCUGGUCUUAAAAUGUGAUUUAGACAUGAUGUGUGAAGUUUUAUAAAUUGAGGAAUGAAGUGUAAUUUACAUUAGAAAGCAUAUUUCAUGCUCAUACAAGGACAUUUAAAUAACACUCAAGGAUACACAUAAGUCAUUCCCCUCCACUCCCAAGACCCCAGUCAGCCAGUGUCUGCUCAAAACCAGUUAGCA